This 455-nucleotide ribosomal RNA is filed under the name Streptococcus infantis. Its description in RNAcentral is "bacterial SSU rRNA". It matches the Rfam family "Bacterial small subunit ribosomal RNA", at positions 28 to 469 of the family's 1533-position model. The record is from RNAcentral. Lineage: Bacteria; Bacillati; Bacillota; Bacilli; Lactobacillales; Streptococcaceae.
GACGAACGCGGGCGGCGUGCCUAAUACAUGCAAGUAGAACGCUGAAGGAGGAGCUUGCUUCUCUGGAUGAGUUGCGAACGGGUGAGUAACGCGUAGGUAACCUGCCUGGUAGCGGGGGAUAACUAUUGGAAACGAUAGCUAAUACCGCAUAACAGUAGAUAUCGCAUGAUAGCUGCUUGAAAGGUGCAAUUGCACCACUACCAGAUGGACCUGCGUUGUAUUAGCUAGUUGGUGAGGUAACGGCUCACCAAGGCGACGAUACAUAGCCGACCUGAGAGGGUGAUCGGCCACACUGGGACUGAGACACGGCCCAGACUCCUACGGGAGGCAGCAGUAGGGAAUCUUCGGCAAUGGACGGAAGUCUGACCGAGCAACGCCGCGUGAGUGAAGAAGGUUUUCGGAUCGUAAAGCUCUGUUGUAAGAGAAGAACGAGUGUGAGAGUGGAAAGUUCACAC